RNAcentral lists this ribosomal RNA (483 nucleotides) under uncultured bacterium. RNAcentral's name for it is "bacterial SSU rRNA". It matches the Rfam family "Bacterial small subunit ribosomal RNA", at positions 328 to 803 of the family's 1533-position model. The record is from RNAcentral.
GAAUUCAACUCCUACGGGAGGCAGCAGUGGGGAAUUUUGGACAAUGGGCGAAAGCCUGAUCCAGCCAUGCCGCGUGCAGGAUGAAGGCCUUCGGGUUGUAAACUGCUUUUGUACGGAACGAAAAGCCUCUUUCUAAUAAAGAGGGGUCAUGACGGUACCGUAAGAAUAAGCACCGGCUAACUACGUGCCAGCAGCCGCGGUAAUACGUAGGGUGCAAGCGUUAAUCGGAAUUACUGGGCGUAAAGCGUGCGCAGGCGGUUUUGUAAGACAGAGGUGAAAUCCCCGGGCUCAACCUGGGAACUGCCUUUGUGACUGCAAGGCUGGAGUGCGGCAGAGGGGGAUGGAAUUCCGCGUGUAGCAGUGAAAUGCGUAGAUAUGCGGAGGAACACCGAUGGCGAAGGCAAUCCCCUGGGCCUGCACUGACGCUCAUGCACGAAAGCGUGGGGAGCAAACAGGAUUAGAUACCCUAGUAGUCCAGGCGUU